CCUACGGGAGGCUGCAGUGGGGAAUAUUGGACAAUGGGGGCAACCCUGAUCCAGCCAUGCCGCGUGUGUGAAGAAGGCCCUCGGGUUGUAAAGCACUUUCAGUGAGGAAGAACGCCUGGUGGUUAAUACCCAUCAGGAAAGACAUCACUCACAGAAGAAGCACCGGCUAACUCCGUGCCAGCAGCCGCGGUAAUACGGAGGGUGCGAGCGUUAAUCGGAAUUACUGGGCGUAAAGCGCGCGUAGGUGGCUUGAUAAGCCGGUUGUGAAAGCCCCGGGCUCAACCUGGGAACGGCAUCCGGAACUGUCAAGCUAGAGUGCAGGUGAGGAAGGUAGAAUUCCCGGUGUAGCGGUGAAAUGCGUAGAGAUCGGGAGGAAUACCAGUGGCGAAGGCGGCCUUCUGGACUGACACUGACACUGAGGUGCGAAAGCGUGGGUAGCAAACAGGAUUAGAUACCCUAGUAGUC
Molecule: ribosomal RNA, 465 nt
Filed under: Vreelandella stevensii
Lineage: Bacteria; Pseudomonadati; Pseudomonadota; Gammaproteobacteria; Oceanospirillales; Halomonadaceae
Description: partial 16S ribosomal RNA
Rfam family: Bacterial small subunit ribosomal RNA
Source: RNAcentral